CACUGUAAAGCUACUAAGCAUUAACCUUUUAAGUUUAAAGAUUGAGAGGGCCUCUCUCUACAGUG
RNAcentral lists this transfer RNA (65 nucleotides) under Cacajao calvus (bald uakari). RNAcentral describes it as "tRNA-Lys". The record is from RNAcentral. Lineage: Eukaryota; Metazoa; Chordata; Mammalia; Primates; Pitheciidae.